This 483-nucleotide ribosomal RNA is filed under the name uncultured bacterium. Its description in RNAcentral is "SSU rRNA". It matches the Rfam family "Bacterial small subunit ribosomal RNA", at positions 26 to 518 of the family's 1533-position model. The record is from RNAcentral.
AGAGCGAACGCUGGCGGCGUGCUUAACACAUGCAAGUCGAACGAGGUCUGUAGCAAUACAGAUACUCGUGGCGAACGGGUGCGUAACACGUGGAUAACCUUCCUUCAGGUGGGGAAUAACCCAGUGAAAAUUGGGCUAAUACCGCAUAACAUGACGAUGCCACAUGGUGUUGUCUUCAAAGGCGCAAGUCGCCAGAAGAGGGAUCCGCGGCCGAUUAGCUAGUUGGCGAGGUAAUGGCUCACCAAGGCAAUGAUCGGUAGCCGGACUGAGAGGUUGGCCGGCCACACUGGAACUGAGACACGGUCCAGACUCCUACGGGAGGCAGCAGUGGGGAAUCUUGCACAAUGGACGAAAGUCUGAUGCAGCAACGCCGCGUGGGGAUGAAGCUUUUCGGAGUGUAAACCCCUUUCGACCCGGAAGAAGCCCGCAAGGGUUGACGGUACGGGUAUAAGAAGCCCCGGCUAACUACGUGCCAGCAGCCGC